ACGCGAGCUGGGUUCAGAACGUCGUGAGACAGUUCGGUCCCUAUCCGUCGCAGGCGUAGGAAAUUUGAGAAGACCUGUCCUUAGUACGAGAGGACCGGGAUGGACGUACCUCUGGUGUACCAGUUGUCCUGCCAAGGGCAUGGCUGGGUAGCUAUGUACGGAAUGGAUAAGCGCUGAAAGCAUCUAAGCGCGAAGCCAACUUCAAGAUAAGAUUUCCCACCGCAAGGGUAAGACCCCAGAAAGACUA
Molecule: ribosomal RNA, 247 nt
Filed under: Clostridioides difficile
Lineage: Bacteria; Bacillati; Bacillota; Clostridia; Peptostreptococcales; Peptostreptococcaceae
Description: partial 23S ribosomal RNA
Rfam family: Bacterial large subunit ribosomal RNA
Source: RNAcentral